UUUCCGUAGGUGAACCUGCGGAAGGAUCAUUAGUGAAUAACCUAGGUUCGAGGACUUUCUCUGACCCGCAAGCAUGUGCACGCACGAAUGCCCCCAGACACAUCCAUCUCACCCCUAUGUACACCACUGCUUGGGUCCCCCUCUCGCUUUAUCGAAAGGGGGAUUACGCAUUCACACACUCUUUAUAUUCAGUGAAAAAUGUAUUUAUUGUUUUUCCUAUCUCGCGAUCCAAACAACUUUCAACAACGGAUCACUUGCCUCCCUCAUCGAUGAAGAACC
Molecule: unclassified non-coding RNA, 279 nt
Filed under: plant metagenome
Description: partial contains small subunit ribosomal RNA, internal transcribed spacer 1, and 5.8S ribosomal RNA
Source: RNAcentral